RNAcentral lists this transfer RNA (93 nucleotides) under Cercophora samala. RNAcentral's name for it is "tRNA-Ile". RNAcentral also lists the same sequence under 1 other name. The record is from RNAcentral. Lineage: Eukaryota; Fungi; Ascomycota; Sordariomycetes; Sordariales; Lasiosphaeriaceae.
GCCCGAUUAGCUCAGCUGGUUAGAGCGUCGUACUAAUACUGGCAACAGUACAUAGUAAUGCGAAGGUCAACAGUUCAAUCCUGUUAUUGGGCA